AUGGACCCCCGCAAAGUGAACGAGCUUCGGGCCUUUGUGAAGAUGUGUAAGCAGGAUCCAAGCCUUCUGCACACAGAGGAAAUGCGCUUCCUGAGGGAGUGGGUGGAGAGUAUGGGAGGUAAAAUAACCACCUGCUACUCAGAAAGCUAAAUCAGAAGAAAAUACCAAGGAAGAAAAACCUGAUAGUAAGAAGGUAGAGGAAGACUUAAAGGCAGAUGAACCGUCAAGUGAGGAAAGUGAUCUAGAAAUUGAUAAUGAAGGUGUGAUUGAACCAGACACUGACACCCCUCAAGAAAUGCGAGAUGAAAAUACAGAGAUAACAGAGGAGAUGAUAGAUCAGGCAAAUGAUAAGAAAGUGUCUGCUAUUGAAGCCCUAAAUGACGGUGAAUUGCAGAAAGCCAUUGACUUAUUCACAGAUGCCAUCAAGCUGAAUCCUCGCUUGGCCAUUUUGUAUGCCAAGAGGGCCAGUGUCUUCGUGAAAUUACAGAAGCCAAAUGCUGCCAUCCGAGACUGUGACAGAGCCAUUGAAAUAAAUCCUGAUUCAGCUCAGCCUUACAAGUGGCGAGGGAAAGCACACAGACUUCUAGGCCACUGGGAAGAAGCAGCCCAUGAUCUUGCCCUUGCCUGUAAACUGGAUUAUGAUGAAGAUGCGAGUGCAAUGCUGAAAGAAGUUCAACCUAGGGCACAGAAAAUUGCAGAACAUCGGAGAAAGUAUGAGCGAAAACAUGAAGAGCGAGAGAUCAAAGAAAGAAUAGAAAGAGUUAAGAAGGUUCGAGAGGAGCAUGAGAGAGCCCAGAGGGAGGAAGAAACCAGACGACAGUCAGGAGCUCGGUAUGGCUCUUUUCCAGAUGGCUUUCCUCGGGGAAUACCUGGUGGUUUUCCCGGAGGAAUGCCUGGAAUGGGAGGGGGCAUGCCUGGAAUGGCCGGAAUGCCAGGACUCAAUGAAAUUCUUAGUGAUCCAGAGGUUCUUGCAGCCAUGCAGGAUCCAGAAGUUACGGUGGCCUUCCAGGAUGUGGCUCAGAACCCAGCAAAUAUGUCAAAAUACCAGAGCAACCCAAAGGUUAUGAAUCUUAUCAGCAAAUUGUCAGCCAAAUUUGGAGGUCAAGCAUAAUGCCCUUCUGAUAAAUAAAGCCUUUGCUGAAGGAAAAGCAACCUAGAUCA
Molecule: non-coding RNA, 1161 nt
Organism: Saimiri boliviensis boliviensis (Bolivian squirrel monkey)
Lineage: Eukaryota; Metazoa; Chordata; Mammalia; Primates; Cebidae
Source: RefSeq, a predicted model, not a curated record